This 717-nucleotide ribosomal RNA is filed under the name uncultured Bacteroidales bacterium. RNAcentral's name for it is "bacterial SSU rRNA". It matches the Rfam family "Bacterial small subunit ribosomal RNA", at positions 49 to 755 of the family's 1533-position model. Lineage: Bacteria; Pseudomonadati; Bacteroidota; Bacteroidia; Bacteroidales. The record is from RNAcentral.
UAACACAUGCAAGUCGAGGGGCAGCAUGGUCUUAGCUUGCUAAGACUGAUGGCGACCGGCGCACGGGUGAGUAACACGUAUCCAACCUGCCGUCUACUCUUGGACAGCCUUCUGAAAGGAAGAUUAAUACAAGAUGGCAUCAUGAGUCCACAUGUUCACAUGAUUAAAGGUAUUCCGGUAGACGAUGGGGAUGCGUUCCAUUAGAUAGUAGGCGGGGUAACGGCCCACCUAGUCUUCGAUGGAUAGGGGUUCUGAGAGGAAGGUCCCCCACAUUGGAACUGAGACACGGUCCAAACUCCUACGGGAGGCAGCAGUGAGGAAUAUUGGUCAAUGGGCGAGAGCCUGAACCAGCCAAGUAGCGUGAAGGAUGACUGCCCUAUGGGUUGUAAACUUCUUUUAUAAAGGAAUAAAGUCGGGUAUGCAUACCCGUUUGCAUGUACUUUAUGAAUAAGGAUCGGCUAACUCCGUGCCAGCAGCCGCGGUAAUACGGAGGAUCCGAGCGUUAUCCGGAUUUAUUGGGUUUAAAGGGAGCGUAGAUGGAUGUUUAAGUCAGUUGUGAAAGUUUGCGGCUCAACCGUAAAAUUGCAGUUGAUACUGGAUAUCUUGAGUGCAGUUGAGGCAGGCGGAAUUCGUGGUGUAGCGGUGAAAUGCUUAGAUAUCACGAAGAACUCCGAUUGCGAAGGCAGCCUGCUAAGCUGCAACUGACAUUGAGGCUCG